AGAACACAGUGCUUUCUCUCUCUUCUCUUAUUCUGUGUUUGGUUUACACAGCCAAAAAAAAUGGAUGAUUUGAUGGAAACAGAUGAAGAAUUAAUGGAUUUCACCUUAGCUGAAGCUAUGGAAAUGACCACUUUCUUUAAAGGAUUGAAAGGAAAAUCAAUCAGUCAAGAGUUGUGUCAAGAAUUUGCUAACAAGUUUAGUUCUUCACCAUUUCGUACUGGGAAAUCUAUAAUAAAAGGGGAACAGGUGAAAAGUUGGUUUCUUGAUAAGCAAAAACCAAAAGCAGCUGAAGUCCCUGAUGAUGAUUAUGUAGAACAUGUUGAUGAUUACGAAGAACCUAUUGUUCCUAAACGACGAGGAAGAAAACCAAAAUCUAAAAACACAAGUUCAUCUCUGGUGGUCUACAAAAAAUACGAUGCUUGUGGUUACACAAGACUCCCAGAAUGUGCAUAUGACUUGCCUCAGAGGCCCAGAGUUUCUGCAGCAGAGAUGGCCAAAGAACUCAGAGGGUUGUCUUUUGAAGCUCUGUCAGCAAAGGAUUUAGCUUGGUAUGACGUGGGCUCAUUUCUCAACUUCAGAGUUCUUUACACGGGCGAGCUUGAAGUUCGUGUAAGAUUUGCUGGCUUUGGUAAUGAAGAAGAUGAAUGGGUGAAUGUUAAAAGGGGAGUACGUGAACGUUCUGUUCCCUUAGAGCCCUCAGAAUGUGUCAAGCUGAGUGUUGGAGAUCCUGUGAUGUGCUUCAGGGAAGAUGAAUAUCUCGCAGUAUAUGGUGACGCAGAGGUUGUGGAGAUCCAAAGAAAUCUACAUGAUAAUACAAGAUGCACGUGCAUCUUUGUCGUCCGCUAUGACUUAGAUAAGGCUGAGGAGAAAAUUGUACUGGACAAGAUAUGUUGCAGACCGAACUUCAUCAAUAACAAGAACAAGAACAACAACGACAACACACCCACUGAAAUUUCCACCACAAGUGGAGUCUGAAGAAGAUAGGAUGUAGUUAACUCGUGUCAGUGAUGCUAGAUGGUUAAACAAAGAAAACACACCUAAGUCACUAAGCAUCCUAACUUGGGAAGUGUUCAAAACUCUACUUGUGUAUUACGUUUAAUUGUGUGUCUUGUACAAGUUUCAUGAAUACAAUGGUGAAUGACUGUAUCUCGAUGGUCUGGUAGAACCUUAAACUCACCAGGCCAGAGCAUCCGGGGCGUUGUGCUCGAAUUUUGGAUGUUGGAAGCAAUGUAAUU
This 1235-nucleotide unclassified non-coding RNA is filed under the name Hevea brasiliensis (rubber tree). The record is from RNAcentral. Lineage: Eukaryota; Viridiplantae; Streptophyta; Magnoliopsida; Malpighiales; Euphorbiaceae.